Molecule: non-coding RNA, 247 nt
Organism: Pelobates cultripes (western spadefoot toad)
Lineage: Eukaryota; Metazoa; Chordata; Amphibia; Anura; Pelobatidae
Source: the annotation of a GenBank genome assembly
CCUGUUACAAACUCUCCCUAUAGCCUUACCCAAAACCUUCUUCGCCACCCUAAGACGCACCUUCAGCACAUUCAUAUGGGCUCACAAACACCCCAGACUAUCACACAAACUACUAACGACACAUAAGCUCUCUGGAGGUCUUGGUUUACCCAACAUAGAGAACUACCACAAAGCCAUAGUCCUUGCGCGGAUCUACGAGUGGUCGAUACCCAAUAACCCCAAACAAUGGGUUCAACUCGAAGCACAC